GACGAACGCUGGCGGCGUGCUUAACACAUGCAAGUCGAACGGAAAGGCCUGUCCUUCCUUGUGUUGGACGGGUACUCGAGUGGCGAACGGGUGAGUAACACGUGAGUGAUCUGCCCCCAACUUGGGUAUAAGCCUGGGAAACUGGGUCUAAUUCCCGAUAGGACUGCAGGGUGGUGCCUGUGGUGGAAAACGAUUUUCUAGUGGUUGGGGAUGAGCUCGCGGCCUAUCAGCUUGUUGGUGGGGUAAUGGCCUACCAAGGCGGCGACGGGUAGCCGGCCUGAGAGGGUGGACGGGCACAUUGGGACUGAGAUACGGCCCAGACUCCUACGGGAGGCAGCAGUGGGGAAUAUUGCACAAUGGGCGGAAGCCUGAUGCAGCGACGCCGCGUGGGGGAUGACGGCCUUCGGGUUGUAAACUCCUUUCGACCGCGAGGAAGCCGCCUGGUUGGAAGGGUGGUGACGGUAGUGGUAGAAGAAGCACCGGCUAACUACGUG
Molecule: ribosomal RNA, 494 nt
Filed under: uncultured bacterium
Lineage: Bacteria
Description: partial 16S ribosomal RNA
Rfam family: Bacterial small subunit ribosomal RNA
Source: RNAcentral